UACGAGGGGGGCUAGUGUUGUUCGGAAUCACUGGGCGUAAAGGGAGCGUAGGCGGGCUUUCAAGUUAGGUGUUUAAUCCCGGGGCCCAACCCCGGACAGGCACUUAAAACUGGAAGUCUUGAAUAGUGGAGAGGUCAGUGGAAUUAGAGGUGUAGCGGUGGAAUGCGUAGAGAUCUCUAAGAACACCAGUUGCGAAGGCGGCUGACUGGACACAUAUUGACGCUGAGGCUCGAAAGCAUGGGGAGCAAACAGG
This 253-nucleotide ribosomal RNA is filed under the name uncultured bacterium. RNAcentral's name for it is "partial 16S ribosomal RNA". It matches the Rfam family "Bacterial small subunit ribosomal RNA", at positions 524 to 776 of the family's 1533-position model. The record is from RNAcentral.